RNAcentral lists this long non-coding RNA (218 nucleotides) under Ananas comosus (pineapple). RNAcentral describes it as "long non-coding RNA (ACOM_LNC004649)". The record is from RNAcentral. Lineage: Eukaryota; Viridiplantae; Streptophyta; Magnoliopsida; Poales; Bromeliaceae.
CAUAUUAAUAUAUUAUACGAUAAUAAAAAAAAUAAAAUACAUAUCUCAUUAAUUUUUGAAAAUCUUAUUGUAAAAAUUUUGAUCCUCGUCGAUCACUAUGCAAAUGAUAUAAAAAAAUCACAAAGUUUAUUUUAUAGGUACUUAAAAUAUUUAAAAUCAAGUCUAACGGAGUCGAUCGUUGAUUCGAAAGUCCCAAUAUCGAAAACGACUAUGAAGUA